Molecule: ribosomal RNA, 253 nt
Filed under: uncultured prokaryote
Description: partial 16S ribosomal RNA
Rfam family: Bacterial small subunit ribosomal RNA
Source: RNAcentral
ACGUAGGUGGCAAGCGUUGUCCGGAUUUAUUGGGUUUAAAGGGUGCGUAGGCGGCCCUGUAAGUCAGUGCUGAAAUAUUCCAGCUUAACUGGGAGGGUGGCAUUGAUACUGUGGGGCUAGAGUACAGAUGAGGUAGGCGGAAUUGACGGUGUAGCGGUGAAAUGCAUAAAUAUCGUCAAGAACACCGAUAGCGAAGGCAGCUUACCGAGCUGUAACUGACACUGAGGCACGAAAGUGUGGGGAUCAAACAGGA